This 231-nucleotide unclassified non-coding RNA is filed under the name Hevea brasiliensis (rubber tree). Lineage: Eukaryota; Viridiplantae; Streptophyta; Magnoliopsida; Malpighiales; Euphorbiaceae. The record is from RNAcentral.
GCAACUUGUUCAUCGGCCUUGGGCUUGUUAUUAAAAUCUUCCAAUUCACUGUCAUGGCGAGCAGCUCGAAUUGAUCGUGCAGACUCAGUUAGGAGCUAGGUCAUUAGCUGUCUUAUAAAUCUUGACAAUUCAAACAGAACACUCUUGAUUGAUUUGAUGGUGAUUUAAGGUUUUCUAGCAAGAACAAGACAACAGUCAUCACACGCCUUUGAAGCCAUGGAUAGAUUUUGU